Unclassified non-coding RNA from Colobus angolensis palliatus, 304 nucleotides. It matches the Rfam family "Metazoan signal recognition particle RNA". Rfam says of the family: The signal recognition particle (SRP) is a universally conserved ribonucleoprotein. It is involved in the co-translational targeting of proteins to membranes. The eukaryotic SRP consists of a 300-nucleotide 7S RNA and six proteins: SRPs 72, 68, 54, 19, 14, and 9. NCBI's taxonomy places the organism in Eukaryota, Metazoa, Chordata, Mammalia, Primates, Cercopithecidae. The record is from Ensembl.
GGGAAAGGUGGUGCAUGCCUAUAUUCUCAACUUCUUGGGAGACUGAGCCAGGGGCAUUGCUUGAGCCAAGGAUUUCUAAGAUGUAGUGUGUCAUGCCAGUCAGAUGUCCAAACUAAGUUUUUCAUCAGUGUGGUGACCUCCCGUGAGCAGGAGACUACCAGGUGGCUCAAAGAAGGGUGAACUAUCCCAGGUCAGAAAUGAAGCGGUCAAAACUCUCAUGCUGAUCCAUAGUGGGAUCGCACCUGUGAAUAGUCACAAUAGUCACUGCAUUCCAGCCUGGACAACAUAAUGAUACCCUGUGUCU